AGGAUGAACGCUGGCGGCGUGCUUAACACAUGCAAGUCGAACGAUGAACCGGAGCUUGCUCCGGGGAUUAGUGGCGAACGGGUGAGUAACACGUGAGUAACCUGCCCUUGACUCUGGGAUAAGCACUGGAAACGGUGUCUAAUACCGGAUACGACCUUCAGCCGCAUGGCUAGGGGGUGAAAGAAUUUGGUCAAGGAUGGACUCGCGGCCUAUCAGGUAGUUGGUGAGGUAAUGGCUCACCAAGCCGACGACGGGUA
RNAcentral lists this ribosomal RNA (257 nucleotides) under uncultured soil bacterium. RNAcentral describes it as "partial 16S ribosomal RNA". It matches the Rfam family "Bacterial small subunit ribosomal RNA", at positions 26 to 285 of the family's 1533-position model. The record is from RNAcentral.